This 274-nucleotide ribosomal RNA is filed under the name uncultured bacterium. Its description in RNAcentral is "partial 16S ribosomal RNA". It matches the Rfam family "Bacterial small subunit ribosomal RNA", at positions 523 to 796 of the family's 1533-position model. The record is from RNAcentral.
AUCCGGAGGGUGCAAGCGUUAAUCGGAAUUACUGGGCGUAAAGGGUACGUAGGCGGUUAAAUAAGUUGGAUGUGAAAGCCCCGGGCUCAACCUGGGAACUGCAUUCAAAACUGUUUGACUAGAGUGUAUGAGAGGUUGGCGGAAUUCCAGGUGUAGCAGUGAAAUGCGUAGAUAUCUGGAGGAACAUCAGUGGCGAAGGCGGCCAACUGGCAUAACACUGACGCUGAGGUACGAAAGCGUGGGGAGCGAACGGGAUUAGAAACCCCAGUAGUCC